AAGAUUUGUGAAACCCAAUCGUGAUUUCUAGCGAGCUUUACUUCGUUUGGGCCUUACGAGAAUUGCAUCUCGAUUUAAAGGGGUUGGUUUUGACUUAAACUCGACCCUUAGGUUUCGGGUUCGAUUCCGCUGCCAGAUGCAAACAGAAAAGAAAAUUUAGGGGAAAAAUAAACAAAAAUAUAUUGUUUGUAGCAGCGUAAUGGCAUAUUGAAUCCGUCGAUUGUUGAUAUCGGACGGCUGCUGAUAUGCUGUUUUACUGUAGGAAUAUGUCAAACCCAAACAAAAAGAAACCCAAGAGAGUUCCACAUCCUAAAACCCC
Molecule: long non-coding RNA, 319 nt
Filed under: Amborella trichopoda
Lineage: Eukaryota; Viridiplantae; Streptophyta; Magnoliopsida; Amborellales; Amborellaceae
Description: long non-coding RNA (ATRI_LNC001411)
Source: RNAcentral